UACAGAGGGUGCGAGCGUUGUCCGGAAUCACUGGGCGUAAAGGGCGCGUAGGCGGCUUGAUAAGCGUGCGGUGAAAGCCCGGGCUCAACCCCGGGUCGGCCGUGCGAACUGUCGAGCUGGAGCACUGUAGAGGCAGGUGGAAUUCCGGGUGUAGCGGUGGAAUGCGUAGAGAUCCGGAAGAACACCGGUGGCGAAGGCGGCCUGCUGGGCAGUGGCUGACGCUGAGGCGCGACAGCGUGG
RNAcentral lists this ribosomal RNA (240 nucleotides) under uncultured bacterium. RNAcentral describes it as "partial 16S ribosomal RNA". It matches the Rfam family "Bacterial small subunit ribosomal RNA", at positions 524 to 764 of the family's 1533-position model. The record is from RNAcentral.